This 90-nucleotide transfer RNA is filed under the name Gillisella vitis. Its description in RNAcentral is "Agrobacterium vitis tRNA-Leu". The record is from RNAcentral. Lineage: Bacteria; Pseudomonadati; Pseudomonadota; Alphaproteobacteria; Hyphomicrobiales; Rhizobiaceae.
AUCGAUGCCGGGCCGGAUGCGCAGGCCAAAGCGUUUCAGGCGCGUUUCGAUAAUCUGCGGACGACCGAUCAGGAUCGGUUCACCAAUUCC